Molecule: small nuclear RNA, 47 nt
Organism: Erinaceus europaeus (western European hedgehog)
Lineage: Eukaryota; Metazoa; Chordata; Mammalia; Eulipotyphla; Erinaceidae
Source: Ensembl
GUGUUGUAUGAAAGGAGAGAAGGUUAGCACUCCCUUGUUAAGAAUUC